RNAcentral lists this long non-coding RNA (220 nucleotides) under Trifolium pratense (red clover). Its description in RNAcentral is "long non-coding RNA (TPRA_LNC013665)". Lineage: Eukaryota; Viridiplantae; Streptophyta; Magnoliopsida; Fabales; Fabaceae. The record is from RNAcentral.
UCAGAGGUCAGAUAUAGCCGUUUGGAACCUCAGUAAAAGGACUCAUGACAGUUGGAAAUGGUUUUGAAAAACUGUGUGCAGGAUCGUUCUUGAAUCAUUCUUGAAUCAGUCUUGAAUCAGUCUUGAACCAGUCUUGACUGCAUCAGCAAGUGUGAUGAAGCUUCAUCUCUAUUUCCUUUGUGAUAUGCAGCUGUUCAGUAGGCUCAAGGACAACUCAGAG